Long non-coding RNA from Antechinus flavipes (yellow-footed antechinus), 932 nucleotides. RefSeq lists it as uncharacterized. The record is from RefSeq and is a predicted model, not a curated record. NCBI's taxonomy places the organism in Eukaryota, Metazoa, Chordata, Mammalia, Dasyuromorphia, Dasyuridae. The transcript has 2 exons.
UCUCCAUUAACAAAAGAGUAGAAGGAAAUGUUGAGACUGAAUCUCAGCAAGAGAACAGGCAUGUUCCUGCUGAAUUAAUAGGAUGUAGAAUGUGUUUGAGGUAUAACCCAUCAAAUCCAGCUUACUGAUACCUAGCUGUUAAAGAAAGGUGAUGUGAUCAUCUGAAGAGGUUUGGGAGAACAAAGAUGAGAAAAAUCACAGUGAGGUAUUCUUCCUGCCAAAAGGUACCUUUUUAAUGAGUAAAGGUCACAGACAUAAUCCAAAUAGGAUUUUGUGCCAUACUUUAGACUGAAAGAAAAGAGAAGAAAUCCAGAGAGUUUGGGAAGAUAAGAGAUUUGAAGGAAUGUGAGAAGAAUUGGGGAGAUGCUUAAAGGAUAAAAUUGGGGCGCUAAAAUCAGGGAGGACUGGGUUGGGAAUGCUUAAAAGAUAAAAUCAAGGAGAAGUUAGGGAAAUGCUUGAAGUGAUAAGGACAAAGUCUGGGAGAAUUGGAAUAAUAUUUAAAGGAUAAAAUAAAAAAAAAUUGGGGGAGAGGGGGAAAUUAGGUCAGAUUAAGGAAUUUUGAUUUUAGGAAGAGGACAAGCUACAGAUGCAAUCAGACUCUUCUUGUACAUAGCCACAAAAUGAUGGCAUAUGGAGUGGAUAUAUAAGGAAUAGAGUAGACUCCCAGAUCUGCUAAAUGAAGAAACUCAAGAUAGAAAAAGAAGACUAAUGGAAAGUUGUCACCCAGCAUCACUUGGAGAACACAAAGCCUAUAUAGAACAUGAACAUGAGUUCGCAUCAAAAUGAUUCCUCUGUGGUGGAAGCACUCAGAAACUAUCUCGAAGAAAUACUAGUUAACCGUAUCAUCUCAAAAUCCAAUGCCUCGAAUCUUACACCUUAAACCUACCAAGUCUUUUGAAUAAACAGACAAAUGCCAAAAAAAAAAAAAAAAA